Long non-coding RNA from Stegostoma tigrinum, 828 nucleotides. RefSeq lists it as uncharacterized. Lineage: Eukaryota; Metazoa; Chordata; Chondrichthyes; Orectolobiformes; Stegostomatidae. The transcript has 4 exons. The record is from RefSeq and is a predicted model, not a curated record.
CCGAGGGGCAUGGCCUGAAAAGAUUGCCUUGGGUUUUCAAAUAUUAAAGUUCCAUUGUAUUUUUCGUGGAUGUCAAUUUAACAGAAGACAUUCGCACAUCUGGGUCAGGCUCAAGACUCACCUCCCCCUUGACACUGAAAGGCUCCUGUACCACAUUCUCUCAGGAUCAUAUGAUGCGUUUGGGCGUAGGACAUGGCACCUGGGCUUCAGACAACUGUUCAUGUUGAUGUUAAGGACCAGAUAACGAAUCAGGAAUCAAAACAGGGUUUUUCUUUGUCUAUUUGAAGAUUGAAAGAGAGAAAGUUUGGAAACGAGAGACCUUUGAACAAUCGCUUAGUCCAGAGGGGACAUGGUCCUUAGACCUGAAGUCUGUUGAACAUGAUGCAACCUCUGAGGCCCAUAUAACAAGUUGAAGAGCUGGAUGAACACAGCAGGCCAAGCAGCAUCAGAGGAGCAGGAAAGCUGACGCUUCAGAAGAUUUGAGCGUGAAUUCCCUGCCUGCGUUUCUCAUCUACAUUCUCAGAGCGAGAUCGGGCAAAGUUGACCUCGCCCCCUGCCUGCCUUUUGUCUUUUGGGUCUUGCCCGACCCUUUACCUGAAUGACACUUACCUUUUCAAGUGGAACCUCCACACGGGAGUGCGAACCGGACACAGACCAGUUCCCGCACGUUCCAAGGAUUCUCCUGGGAUUAAUUCAUGUUCUUAAGUUUAUGCAGAACAAAGCACACCUGCAGGAUUUUAUUGGAAAAGCCUUCAAUCUUAGUUUCUCAACAAAGGUUAUUACUUCAGAGAUAGUAGGAACUGCAGAUGCUGGAGAAUCUGAGAUAAC